GAUGAACGCUGGCGGCGUGCCUAAUACAUGCAAGUCGAGCGAACAGACGAGGAGCUUGCUCCUUUGACGUUAGCGGCGGACGGGUGAGUAACACGUGGAUAACCUACCUAUAAGACUGGGAUAACUUCGGGAAACCGGAGCUAAUACCGGAUAACAUGUUGAACCGCAUGGUUCAACAGUGAAAGACGGUUUUGCUGUCACUUAUAGAUGGAUCCGCGCCGCAUUAGCUAGUUGGUAAGGUAACGGCUUACCAAGGCAACGAUGCGUAGCCGACCUGAGAGGGGGAUCGCCACCCCUGAACCUGAGACCCGUUCCAGACUCCAACGGGAGGCAGCGGAAGGGAAUCUUCCGCAAUGGGCGAAGGCCUACCGGAGCAACGCCGCGUGAGUGAAGAAGGUCUUCGGUUCGUAAACCUCUGUUAUAGGGAAGAACAAAUGUGUAAGUAACUAUGCACGUCUUGACGGUACCUAAUCAGAAAGCCACGGCUAACUACGUG
Molecule: ribosomal RNA, 496 nt
Filed under: uncultured bacterium
Lineage: Bacteria
Description: partial 16S ribosomal RNA
Rfam family: Bacterial small subunit ribosomal RNA
Source: RNAcentral